GGGGCCGACCGGUUUUGACAGGAUGUGUGAGUGCGUAUGCCAGCAUGCAGGCUCAUGGGGUGAGAGCCUUAAAAGAUAGUCCUAAAACCAUACUUGGCGAGUCUAACUACGCCUUGGCUGCUUAAUCUAACGUAUCGUUAGAUAAGUUUGUCUCCGAUAAGAUCGGAGAGGCCAACAUCGCUCACCGCCUUUGUUCUGCAGGAGGUGAAUAUGCGGUGUCGUUUGUCGGAACUGCUCUGUGUGACGUUACUAAACACAGCUAAGACAUAGUGACUAAGGAGAAGUUGAGGUUGUUGACUGCCUUGCUCCUCCCGACAAUCAAAGUUAACUAAGCAUGUAGAAUCUACGCGUUUAUCUUCUCUGGACCAGAGUUCGAUUCUCUGCGGCUCCACAA
This 394-nucleotide transfer-messenger RNA is filed under the name Cyclobacteriaceae. RNAcentral describes it as "ELB16-189 sp020436125 Standard tmRNA". It matches the Rfam family "transfer-messenger RNA". Rfam says of the family: Bacterial tmRNA, also known as 10Sa RNA or SsrA, is named for its dual tRNA and mRNA-like properties. Its role is to liberate the mRNA from a stalled ribosome. To accomplish this part of the tmRNA is used as a reading frame that ends in a translation stop signal. Lineage: Bacteria; Pseudomonadati; Bacteroidota; Cytophagia; Cytophagales. The record is from RNAcentral. RNAcentral also lists the same sequence under 1 other name.